This 468-nucleotide ribosomal RNA is filed under the name uncultured bacterium. RNAcentral describes it as "partial 16S ribosomal RNA". It matches the Rfam family "Bacterial small subunit ribosomal RNA", at positions 28 to 507 of the family's 1533-position model. The record is from RNAcentral.
GACGAACGCUGGCGGCGUGCUUAACACAUGCAAGUCGAACGGAAAGGCCCUGCUUUUGUGGGGUGCUCGAGUGGCGAACGGGUGAGUAACACGUGAGUAACCUGCCCUUGACUUUGGGAUAACUUCAGGAAACUGGGGCUAAUACCGGAUAGGAGCUCCUGCUGCAUGGUGGGGGUUGGAAAGUUUCGGCGGUUGGGGAUGGACUCGCGGCUUAUCAGCUUGUUGGUGGGGUAGUGGCUUACCAAGGCUUUGACGGGUAGCCGGCCGGAGAGGGUGACCGGCCACAUUGGGACUGAGAUACGGCCCAGACACCUACGGGAGGCAGCAGUGGAGAAUAUUGCACAAUGGGCGGAAGCCUGAUGCGGCAACGCCGCGUGCGGGAUGACGGCCUUCGGGUUGUAAACCGCUUUCGCCUGUGACGAAGCGUGAGUGACGGUAAUGGGUAAAGAAGCACCGGCUAACUACGUG